RNAcentral lists this long non-coding RNA (400 nucleotides) under Homo sapiens (human). Its description in RNAcentral is "HSALNT0190249". Lineage: Eukaryota; Metazoa; Chordata; Mammalia; Primates; Hominidae. The record is from RNAcentral.
GUACAGACAGCUAUGCAGGACCUAGAUAUCGGUCAGUGGCUGUUGAAAUGUAGAAACUGGCAGGCACUGGUCCCAGUGGUGGCACCUUCAGUGGCCAUCUGCAAUAGUAUUUCUGGUAGCACCACCAGUGAGCAGCAUCAGCAUGUCAUAUUCAGAAGGCAGGGAACAAGAGACAGGCUGCUUUGAGACAGGCCCUGGAUGACGGCCAACACUGGCAACAAAGCCUUCUGUGUGCUUUGGCUUUACAGUUCAAAUUUCUUUUUUGAAGAAUAGAGUGAUGGUCAUCAGAAUUAGCUGAGGCAGAAGAGGAGGCAAAAUGGUAAUCUGGAAGGUAACCCUUCUGAGGAAAUUAGCAGCUUUGACAAUGGAAAGUACUGUUUCAUCUGUCUUCCCUAUGAGA